This 78-nucleotide small RNA is filed under the name Arabidopsis thaliana (thale cress). RNAcentral describes it as "ATSL058990". The record is from RNAcentral. Lineage: Eukaryota; Viridiplantae; Streptophyta; Magnoliopsida; Brassicales; Brassicaceae.
CCUCCGCCUUCUCUUCCUCUGCCUCUUCUCGGAGAAGAUCUUCGGAUUUCACUUUCGACGAUGAUUAUAGCGAGCUGC